UGGGGAAUCUUGCACAAUGGGGGAAACCCUGAUGCAGCGACGCCGCGUGAACGAUGAAGCCCUUCGGGGUGUAAAGUUCUUUCGACAGGAACGAUAAUGACGGUACCUGGAGAAGAAGCUGCGGCUAACUACGUGCCAGCAGCCGCGGUAAUACGUAGGCAGCGAGCGUCGUUCGGAGUUACUGGGCGUAAAGAGUGCGUAGGCGGCGAGCCAAGUUUGGUGUGAAAUCUCCCGGCUUAACCGGGAGGGUGCGCCGAAAACUGGUUGGCUGGAGUAUGGGAGAGGAAAGCGGAAUUCCUGGUGUAGCGGUGAAAUGCGUAGAUAUCAGGAGGAACACCUGCGGUGUAGACAGCUUUCUGAACCAAAACUGACGCUGAGGCACGAAAGCGUGGGUAGCAAACA
RNAcentral lists this ribosomal RNA (402 nucleotides) under uncultured bacterium. Its description in RNAcentral is "bacterial SSU rRNA". It matches the Rfam family "Bacterial small subunit ribosomal RNA", at positions 355 to 774 of the family's 1533-position model. The record is from RNAcentral.